GGUACCGUCAGGCCUAACGUGUAUUAUACGUUAGGAGGUUCUUCCCCUCUGAUAGAGCUUUACGACCCAAGAGCCUUCAUCACUCACGCGGUAUUGCUGCGUCAGGCUUUCGCCCAUUGCGCAAAAUUCCCCA
RNAcentral lists this ribosomal RNA (133 nucleotides) under uncultured bacterium. Its description in RNAcentral is "partial 16S ribosomal RNA". The record is from RNAcentral.